RNAcentral lists this ribosomal RNA (442 nucleotides) under uncultured bacterium. RNAcentral's name for it is "partial 16S ribosomal RNA". It matches the Rfam family "Bacterial small subunit ribosomal RNA", at positions 338 to 795 of the family's 1533-position model. The record is from RNAcentral.
CCUACGGGUGGCAGCAGUGGGGGAUAUUGCACAAUGGGGGAAACCCUGAUGCAGCGACGCCGCGUGGGCGAAGAAGUAUUUCGGUAUGUAAAGCCCUAUCAGCAGGGAAGAAGAAAUGACGGUACCUGAGUAAGAAGCACCGGCUAAAUACGUGCCAGCAGCCGCGGUAAUACGUAUGGUGCAAGCGUUAUCCGGAUUUACUGGGUGUAAAGGGAGCGUAGACGGAAAGGCAAGUCAGAAGUGAAAACCCAAGGCUCAACCAUGGGACUGCUUUUGAAACUGUCAAACUAGAGUACGGGAGAGGUAAGAGGAAUUCCUGGUGUAGCGGUGAAAUGCGUAGAUAUCAGGAGGAACACCGGUGGCGAAGGCGGCCUGCUGGACUGCAACUGACGUUGAGGCCCGAAAGCGUGGGGAGCAAACAGGAUUAGAUACCCUUGUAGUC